Molecule: ribosomal RNA, 1489 nt
Filed under: Salmonella enterica subsp. enterica serovar Mbandaka
Lineage: Bacteria; Pseudomonadati; Pseudomonadota; Gammaproteobacteria; Enterobacterales; Enterobacteriaceae
Description: partial 23S ribosomal RNA
Rfam family: Bacterial large subunit ribosomal RNA
Source: RNAcentral
GGGUUGUGAGGUUAAGCGACUAAGCGUACACGGUGGAUGCCCUGGCAGUCAGAGGCGAUGAAGGACGUGCUAAUCUGCGAUAAGCGCCGGUAAGGUGAUAUGAACCGUUAUAACCGGCGAUUUCCGAAUGGGGAAACCCAGUGUGAUUCGUCACACUAUCAUUAACUGAAUCCAUAGGUUAAUGAGGCGAACCGGGGGAACUGAAACAUCUAAGUACCCCGAGGAAAAGAAAUCAACCGAGAUUCCCCCAGUAGCGGCGAGCGAACGGGGAGGAGCCCAGAGCCUGAAUCAGCAUGUGUGUUAGUGGAAGCGUCUGGAAAGGCGCGCGAUACAGGGUGACAGCCCCGUACACAAAAGCGCAUGUGCUGUGAGCUCGAUGAGUAGGGCGGGACACGUGGUAUCCUGUCUGAAUAUGGGGGGACCAUCCUCCAAGGCUAAAUACUCCUGACUGACCGAUAGUGAACCAGUACCGUGAGGGAAAGGCGAAAAGAACCCCGGCGAGGGGAGUGAAAAAGAACCUGAAACCGUGUACGUACAAGCAGUGGGAGCACAGGUUUACCUGUGUGACUGCGUACCUUUUGUAUAAUGGGUCAGCGACUUAUAUUCUGUAGCAAGGUUAACCGUAUAGGGGAGCCGUAGGGAAACCGAGUCUUAACCGGGCGUUAAGUUGCAGGGUAUAGACCCGAAACCCGGUGAUCUAGCCAUGGGCAGGUUGAAGGUUGGGUAACACUAACUGGAGGACCGAACCGACUAAUGUUGAAAAAUUAGCGGAUGACCUGUGGCUGGGGGUGAAAGGCCAAUCAAACCGGGAGAUAGCUGGUUCUCCCCGAAAGCUAUUUAGGUAGCGCCUCGUGAAUUCAUCUCCGGGGGUAGAGCACUGUUUCGGCUAGGGGGCCAUCCCGGCUUACCAACCCGAUGCAAACUGCGAAUACCGGAGAAUGUUAUCACGGGAGACACACGGCGGGUGCUAACGUCCGUCGUGAAGAGGGAAACAACCCAGACCGCCAGCUAAGGUCCCAAAGUCAUGGUUAAGUGGGAAACGAUGUGGGAAGGCCCAGACAGCCAGGAUGUUGGCUUAGAAGCAGCCAUCAUUUAAAGAAAGCGUAAUAGCUCACUGGUCGAGUCGGCCUGCGCGGAAGAUGUAACGGGGCUAAACCAUGCACCGAAGCUGCGGCAGCGACACUGUGUGUUGUUGGGUAGGGGAGCGUUCUGUAAGCCUGUGAAGGUGGCCUGUGAGGGUUGCUGGAGGUAUCAGAAGUGCGAAUGCUGACAUAAGUAACGAUAAAGCGGGUGAAAAGCCCGCUCGCCGGAAGACCAAGGGUUCCUGUCCAACGUUAAUCGGGGCAGGGUGAGUCGACCCCUAAGGCGAGGCCGAAAGGCGUAGUCGAUGGGAAACGGGUUAAUAUUCCCGUACUUGGUGUUACUGCGAAGGGGGGACGGAGAAGGCUAUGUUGGCCGGGCGACGGUUGUCCCGGUUUAAGCGUGUAGG